Molecule: ribosomal RNA, 21 nt
Filed under: Streptococcus pneumoniae GA17570
Lineage: Bacteria; Bacillati; Bacillota; Bacilli; Lactobacillales; Streptococcaceae
Source: RNAcentral
AGAAAAAGUAGUUGACAAAAU